Molecule: long non-coding RNA, 293 nt
Filed under: Rattus norvegicus (Norway rat)
Lineage: Eukaryota; Metazoa; Chordata; Mammalia; Rodentia; Muridae
Description: long non-coding RNA NONRATT009954
Source: RNAcentral
AGAAGAAGAUCUGUUUAACCCCUGCCAGGUGAUCAAGUGCAAGCACGGGAAGUGCAGGCUCUCUGGGCUCGGGCAGCCCUAUUGUGAAUGCAGCAGUGGAUUCACCGGGGACAGCUGUGACAGAGGUAAGCUAGGCACAGAGGAGAGGGCCAGCUUAUCCCUAGUGAAAAAGAGAGUGCAGAGCCAUGAAACACUUGACUUUGUGUGGCUUGUAGCUACUACUGAUGAUUUUCCAGUCUUGUGCAAAAACUGAGGUGCAAGGCAUUAAAGGCCCAUGGUAAGGUUUUUCGUGG